RNAcentral lists this microRNA precursor (58 nucleotides) under Drosophila melanogaster (fruit fly). RNAcentral describes it as "Dme-Mir-983-P1_pre stem-loop". The record is from RNAcentral. Lineage: Eukaryota; Metazoa; Arthropoda; Insecta; Diptera; Drosophilidae.
AUAAUACGUUUCGAACUAAUGAUUUUCAGUUCAUUCAUUAGGUAGUUACGCAUUAUCU